This 6582-nucleotide long non-coding RNA is filed under the name Sorghum bicolor (sorghum). Its description in RNAcentral is "long non-coding RNA (SBIC_LNC006332)". Lineage: Eukaryota; Viridiplantae; Streptophyta; Magnoliopsida; Poales; Poaceae. The record is from RNAcentral.
AGGAGAACGAGUAGCUCACCACGAACUCACUACCGCACUUGAUUCGGCCCGAGAAAUAACAUGGAACCCGCGCCGCGGUGGAGAAGGUGUGCGGCUCACUGAGAUCCAAACGUGCCUAGCUAGGGCGCCUAGGGUUCGAUUUCGGCGGCUAGGAAGGGAAAAACAACACGCGGGACACCUCUAGGGGCUUUAUAGGGUCUUGGUUCGCAAAAAGGGCAAGAAAUCGCGGCGUUUCCUGGGAUCGGUUCGGGUGGGAUCGCGUCCUGCUCGAAUACGGCGCACGGAGGAAGAAGGAAAGCGGGCGCGUCGCUGACGUGUGGGCCCAUGCUGCCAGUGAGAGAAGCGGGCGGGACCCGGCCGUCAGCAGUGGAAAAGGGGAGGGGGAAUGGGGCGCGCAGCGUGGGCCGGUUGCCAACUGGGCCGAGGUGGGACACUGGGCCGCACCCGGACGAGAACAGAGGGGAGAGAGGGGGUACUGGGCCUCGGCCAGAAGCAGUGGGGAAAGUUGUUUUCCUUUUUCUUUUCUUUUGUUUGUUUUUUUUAUUUAAAAGCCUUUUCAAACUCAUUUAAAAUAAAUCCUUUUUAAAUCUGUUUGAAAUAUUUUGAACUUUUGUCAAACACACACACACAUCAAUAAAUCAAAUGCAAAGGCAUGAAUUCUCAAACAUAUUGCUAAACUCCUAUGAUAAUUUUUAAUUUAAUAAAUAAAAUAUUAUUUCUCUAUAUUUCAUGAACACGAAAAUACAAAAUAAAAUCUUUUUCACCUAUUUCAAAAAGAACAAAUUUUUAGGGUGUUACAAAUCUACCCCCCUUAAAAUGAAUCUCGUCCUCGAGAUUCGAAAGAGGCACGGAUUCCAAAAGAGAAACAGGAAAAAUAUUUUGAUAACUACUUGAACUUCACAACUUGUAUUCCAAAGGCAACCACUCAUGUCUCGGGAUCAUGACUUGUGAACAAAACUUCCAUAAAAUGUCUAUUUUUCGUAAUUGUUCAAAGUCCAUCUUGACUACCAACCUUUUGUCUUAUACAACUCAAAGAUAUGAUAGCUUAGCAUGGAUAUGCCUCCUCAGGUAGGAGUGGGCCACCUUGGUACUCAAUUCUUCUUCCUGAUGGUGCGGUUAAGAAAAUUUUCCACUGGGUAGCACGGAUCACUCCUUUGUGUGCACAUAAGCAUAGGAUAUCUCAGAAGACAAUUAUCACUUCAAGCUCGAUUAGAUAUGCAUCAUCCAGUGAUAUCAAGGUACUACCCCCCUUAAGACGAGGUUGGUUGGGGGACAUUAGGGACUAAUUCUCCUAUCCUUUUUGGACGCUACACAUCAUAGUCUUUUAAAUUCAUCUGUACCGAGUCUCCUGAUCCAUUGUUAGCUUCAUCACUAAGUUCCAAUUAUCGGUACUUUUAUCACAGUUAAGUUGUUUCACUCUCGCAUCCAAUUAUAACUUCGUAAACUUUGGUGUCAUCUGAUCCUCAUAAACAUAACUCUCAAUCCAUGAGUAUCAGCCAUGACUUAAAUCUCCAUUAACAUUCUCUAAAUGAGAUGAUAUCUUGAACAAACCAAAUUCACCAAGCACUUAAUGUUCAUGUAUAUGAUUUAACUUUUACCAAUCAUUCUCCUUGUAACUCCUUUAAUUAGGCUACCCCCCUUAAAAAAGGUCAACUAGGGGACAUAAUAAAGGUAGCUUGUACGUUUUCCAGAUAAGUUAACUAACAUUGAGAACUUCUGGCGUCCCCAAGAACUUAUGUGCAAAGGAGCAAACAAGUAUCCUGAAAUUUCCUCACGAUAUGAAAACACCAGCGUAGUAAAAUGGGUAUAACUCUUAUUCUGUUAAUCCAAUAGAGUUGUAGCUUAUACCGUUAGAAAAUUUAUGAAAUUCUCUACCACUUUAAUGUAGAAGACCUCCUUAGGUUCUGUCUUUAAGCUUAGGUAAAAUAGCCAAACUUAAUAUCCUUCCUGGUAAUGUCUCCGCAAAGGUGCAGUAACUUCCAGAAAUUAUAUCCCGAGCUACUUAACUCAUCUGGAGAUGAUCCUUACAUUUUUGAAAAGCUUAGGUAAUCCUUUUCAACUUUUGUAUACAUCUUUUUCCCGGAUUCUGAUGUUAAGUUAUCUGAAAGUAGAGAAUACCAGAUCUGUCCAGAUUUUGAAACAAAACAGAAACAUCCAGAUGUAAAUAUCUUAUCUCAGGUUCUACUUAUCCAAAUAAGUUCCAGCUUAUACCGUUGGAAAGCUUAGCAAAUAUUCUACAACUUUUCUAUAGAAAACUGUUCCAAAUUCUAUAGUUAUAUAUGUCUAAACAGUAAGCAACCGAAACUGGUCCAGAUUCCUGACAGCACCUCUGUAUCGUCUUGUGAUUUUUGUAACUUCCAAACCAUAUUAGCUAUGAGGGUGAUUCUUGUGGUCAGCGAAAGAUCUUGGAGUCUAGUUGUUCCCAGAAAAAGUUGACAAACUUUGCACAAUAAGAACUUGAGAUACAACAGAAUUAUUGCAGACUGCUCCAGAAAUCAGCAAAGGAUAAAACAAGAGAUAGCCAAACCCAACUACUUAUGUCAUUAAUACUUAUACCGUAGGCCUAUAAACUAAUGAAAUUGUGAGGAAAUCCCACAAGUUCAUUUCACUCACUACAAAGAUCCAAAUCAAGCAUAAGCAUAAUAACAAACCAACUAAGCAUUGAAGGUUCACACUUCACUCAACUUGCGAUACUAUCGCUCUCUUCUUGUUAAUGGUAAAGAUCCUAAAACUUAUAUUUCAAAGACGCAAGAAGGUGGUAAGAAAAGGUUCUAAAAGCAUAUCAAGCAAGGAGUGGGGAUGAGAACAAGUCUUUAAAAUAAGCAACAAGGUGAAGAUGAAUAGCAAUGAAAAGGAUAUAGUAUAGAGGAAAAUAUCAAGGUUUAUAGAGCAAGGAUUUUAUAGCAAUUUCAAAACCUUAAGACGACUGAUUUCUAACUAGGCUUGCGUCCUACAGUCAGCAUUGCUCUGAUACCACUUUGUAAUACCCGAUUUUAAGGACAAAAUCGAUAUGCACCAUAUGUGAGUCUUAGAAAACAAAUCUCACAUAUAGCUACAAAUAAGGGGUAAUAUCAAAAGACAACGCAUAAAUAUAUAACGUACUUAGUAUAAAAGAGAUAACCUUCAGUAACAAACAGCGGAUAGAUAACUCUAAACUUUAGGUAUUAACUCCUCUCCACAGGAUCAAACUGACUGGUUGAUCACAAGCCUAAAGCAAUUCCUGAAGUGAGGGGGAAAUUGCAAGAGUGAGCACAUAUCGUACUCAACAAGUAUAACCAGGGGUUCAUGAGGCUCAAUAAGCUGACACUGGUUUGACUGCGUUUAGCUUUUAUAUGUAGAUAGCAUAUUUAAUCGUUGGAUAGCAAAUAUCAAGGUAGCAUAAUUAAUCCCAUAACCACAUGUUCAAUGUAUACAAGAAUUAUGAAUAACACAUAUAAACAACACAAUAAACCAUCAUUUAUUAUCAUUAUUCACGUUCAUCAGUGUCCAUCUAUUCCGUCAGUUUUCCGGGCCGCCCGUAUCCGUGGGCACGGCUAGUAUACCAGAUUUAACACUCUGCAGAGGUUGUACAUCUUUACCCAUGAGUCAUGAUUUACCCUUUCGCCCGAGGCCCGUCGACCUCUUAGCUCACUUCCAAGGAAAGCCGGCAGGGUUCACUAUGAAGUCUUUCAAAGGUUCGUCUAACAAGUUAGGGCCGCAAGGUUUCCUUUGCGCGCAGAUAUAGAUACCCCCCUUCCAAAUGGCACAAUGACGCGCAGCCUAUACACAUAAGGACAGGGGCUCGCACUAUACCCAAAACGGUUCAGCCCCUCCGCCCUUUCGGGUAACCGCUAACAAGCUAGAAAAGCUUACUCAUACUUGACUAAAGCCAGAGCCAUAUAGCCCUCAUGGUUGUACGAGUUGUCCCAGCUUUUGCCAAGGGAUAAGUCCUUACGGAGGGUCAAGAUCAAUCCAGCAAAAGCCAGAGUUCUUUCCACCCUUUAUAUUCAAGUUGGUAGAAAGCUUAUUUUAUUGUUUAUUGUAUAUUCAAAUAUUUAUGUUACAAGAUCAUGGAUUAAUCAUCAAGCACUAGCAAGAACUACCCAAAUGCAUAUCCAAAUAGGUAACAAGGAAUUCAGGAUAACAAACAUCUAUGAUUUUGCUAAGGUCAUCAAGGUGAUAGCAUGCAUGUGAUAAAUGUUAUAUUAAUUGUGUAUAGGUAACAAGGAUAGUCCCAAGUUAUACUUGCCUUGAUCAAAGCUCUCCUGAGCCUGCUGGUCUUCAAAUGCUUGAUCUUGAUCACCAACGUAAAGCUCACCGACUAAACUCGAUCAUCAAUCAACAACACGCAUUCUAAUGGUCAAUCAUACACAGAGCAAACAAGCUAUAAUUAGAACAAUACACCAAACAGUGGUAAAUCAAAGAUAAAAGUUUAUGAAAAUAUUCUACACAGCACUACGAUCAUACAAACGUAAAGUUCACAAAAAUCGGAAUUAAAAACGUAGAAGAUAUGAAUUUUCUAAGAUUUUAUAUAGAAAAAUAAUUAAUUAACUAGGGUCACGAAAUUAAAAAGUUUCAAACUGAGAAAUCAGUGAUACUAACACGUAGAUCUCGAGAAGAUGAAUCUAACGCAAUUUGAAUGGACAAAAACGGAGUUAAAAUGUAUAUUUUAUGACCGAAACAAAUUCAAUGGCAGUUUUGUAAAUACCAGGAAGCGUAUUCUGAAGUAACCCGGCAGACUUUACGUUUUCAAAUGGUGAAAACGUAUUUCUGAACUACGCCUAAGGACUGCGGGUUUGAUUGUAAAGAAGUUCAGGGGCUCUUUACCAAAAGUUACACCGAACCGUUACCUUCUAAUCUCGUUCGCUGGUGCUUGAUCGGACGGUCCGCAGCGUCCCAGGGAGGUCACGGCGGGGGUCGGUCGCCGGGGUUGAAGCCCGACGCGGCGGCUGCCAUGGGCGCCGCCUUGAAGCCCACCGGAGACCACCUAAUCCACGUUUCCAAGCGCCAAACAACAAAAUAAGAACACCAAGAGAACAAGUAGCUCACCACGAACUCACUACCGCACUUGAUUCGGCCCGAGAAAGAACAUGGAACCCGCGCCGCGGUGGAGAAGGUGUGCGGCUCACUGAGAUCCAAACGUGCCUAGCUAGGGCGCCUAGGGUUCGAUUUCGGCGGCUAGGAAGGGAAAAAACAACACGCGGGACCCCUCUAGGGGCUUUAUAGGGUCUUGGUUCGCAAAAAGGGCAAGAAAUCGCGGCGUUUCCUGGGAUCGGUUCGGGUGGGAUCGCGUCCUGCUCGAAUACGGCGCACGGAAGUAGAAGGAAAGCGGGCGCGUCGCUGAAGUGUGGGCCCGUGCUGCAAGUGAGAGAAGCGGGCGGGACCCGGCCGUCAGCAGUGGAAAAGGGGAGGGGGAAUGGGGCGCGUAGCGUGGGCCGGUUGCCAACUGGGCCGAGGUGGGACACAGGGCCGCACCCGGCCGAGAACAGAGGGGAGAGAGGGGGUACUGGGCCUCGGCCAGAAGCAGUGGGGAAAGUUGUUUUCCUUUUUCUUUUCUUUUGUUUGUUUUUUUUUAUUUAAAAGCCUUUUCAAACUCAUUUAAAAUAAAUCCUUUUUAAAUCUGUUUGAAAUAUUUUGAACUUUUGUCAAACACACACACACAUCAAUAAAUCAAAUGCAAAGGCAUGAAUUCUCAAACAUAUUGCUAAACUCCUAUGAUAAUUUUUAAUUUAAUAAAAAAAAUAUUAUUUAUCUAUAUUUCAUGAACACGAAAAUACAAAAUAAAAUCUUUUUCACCUAUUUCAAAACGAACAAAUUUUUAGGGUGUUACACUCAUAGAUAUUCUCUGACUAGCUAGACCGUGGUAGUAGCGAGGAACGUGACAUUUCCGAGUUACCUUUGCAAACCAUAUCUCGUUAGCAGGAAGGAUAGGGUUUAUAGGUGAGGGUUGAACAUCCUCUGUGGUGUCUAGAUUCCGUAAGCUUCCCCAAUAGAACAGUAGAUCAUCCUUACCAAGGUUAGAAGGAGAUUACGGUUGUAGUCUUCUCUAUUUAUCACUCACAUCGAGAAACAUUCUUUGUAGCCUAAAGGUUAGUAGUAAUAGACUGGAUUAGUCAGAUACACUCUUUCUCCUAGUGGUAAAAAAAUAAAUACGAUACUCUGGAUAACUUCCCGGGUGAAGUGCUCACCGAUAUCCGUGCGCUUGCGGAUCAAUUCCUUAUUGCGUUCCCAAAUAUCAACAAGCAUUUCUGGUGCCGUUGCCGAGGAGAAAGACGGUUUUCUGAGAUAACCUUGAGUCUUACUACUAGCUUGUAUCUAUACUUUUAUCUUUUCUUAUCUUUUAUAUUCUGUAUUUAUUUUCUUUACUCUUACCUUAUGGAAAACCAAGAUUCUAAGUCAACCUACCAAUUUGCAACACCUUCGGAAACUGACCUUUUACCAUGGGAGUCAUCACAGCCUAUCCAAACAUCCCAGUAUAGGUUAAGUUCUAGGUUGAUUGCUAUGAUUCAAAACUUAUCUUUUUCGGGAAAGGAAGACGAUAACUCUUACCUUCAUAUUAGAGAUUUUGAGCAAACAUGUGAUUGUGUUCGCAUUGAAGGCAUU